GACGAACGCUGGCGGCGUGCCUAAUACAUGCAAGUCGAGCGGAGUUUUUAAAAGCUUGCUUUUAAAAACUCAGCGGCGGACGGGUGAGUAACACGUGGGCAACCUGCCCUGUAGACUGGGAUAACUUCGGGAAACCGAAGCUAAUACCGGAUAAUCAUAGAAGUUGCAUAGCCUCUAUGUAAAAGUUGGGUUUACCUAACACUACAGGAUGGGCCCGCGUCGCAUUAGCUAGUUGGUAAGGUAACGGCUUACCAAGGCGACGAUGCGUAGCCGACCUGAGAGGGUGAUCGGCCACACUGGGACUGAGACACGGCCCAGAUUCCUACGGGAGGCAGCAGUAGGGAAUCUUCCGCAAUGGACGAAAGUCUGACGGAGCAACGCCGCGUGAGCGAUGAAGGCCUUUCGGGUCGUAAAGCUCUGUUGGUUAGGGAAG
Molecule: ribosomal RNA, 433 nt
Filed under: Bacilli bacterium oral taxon C43
Lineage: Bacteria; Bacillati; Bacillota; Bacilli
Description: bacterial SSU rRNA
Rfam family: Bacterial small subunit ribosomal RNA
Source: RNAcentral